This 699-nucleotide ribosomal RNA is filed under the name Triticum aestivum (bread wheat). RNAcentral describes it as "partial small subunit ribosomal RNA". Lineage: Eukaryota; Viridiplantae; Streptophyta; Magnoliopsida; Poales; Poaceae. The record is from RNAcentral.
AUGAAUAUCCUAGCAUGGAACUGCCGGGGGGGAGGGGACCGCCAGACAGUUCGUGAGGUUGUGGCCCUCUCAAAAGCCAAUAACCCCAAGCUUGUUUUCCUCUGUGAAACCAGGCAAGCGUCAAAUAAAGUGGAGAUCAAGUUGAGAUGGAGACUUGGUUUGAAGGGUUUCCAUGGUGUGUGCAGUGAUGGUCGGAGUGGAGUUUUGGCGCUCUUUUGGGACGAAUCUCUCUCAGUCACCGUCUUAGAUUCAUGUCAGAGAUACAUUGAUGUUUCAGUGACAGAUAAUGGGGCUGGUACAGUGUGGAGGAGUACUUUUGUUUACGGGGAACCACGAGUUGAGAGCAGGCAUGAUAUGUGGGAUCAUCUAACCACAUUACAUGCUACAUCCCCGGAACCUUGGUUUGUAUGCAGAGAUUUCAAUGAGGCGUUGUGGCAACACAAGCACCUGUCAAGGACGAUGCGAUCAGAGCCUCAGAUGGCAGCCUUUAGAGACUGCCUAAUGCUUUGUGAGCUCGAUGACCUUGGCUUCAGUGGUAUUCCCUACACAUACAAUAAUGGGCAGGAUGGCAAUCACAAUGUGCAAGUACGCCUUGACCGUGCAUGUGCGGAUGAAUUGUGGAGAGAGUUGUUUCCAGCGGCUAGGGCGUUGCACCUUGCCUCGUCUUGUUCUGAUCAUAGUCCGCUCCUGUGCAGCUAG